RNAcentral lists this ribosomal RNA (460 nucleotides) under uncultured bacterium. RNAcentral describes it as "partial 16S ribosomal RNA". It matches the Rfam family "Bacterial small subunit ribosomal RNA", at positions 338 to 795 of the family's 1533-position model. The record is from RNAcentral.
CCUACGGGUGGCAGCAGUGAGGAAUAUUGGUCAAUGGACGAGAGUCUGAACCAGCCAAGUAGCGUGAAGGAUGACUGCCCUAUGGGUUGUAAACUUCUUUUAUAAAGGAAUAAAACGAGGCACGUGUGCCUUUUUGCAUGUACUUUAUGAAUAAGGAUAGGCUAACUCCGUGCCAGCAGCCGCGGUAAUACGGAGGAUCCGAGCGUUAUCCGGAUUUAUUGGGUUUAAAGGGAGAGUAGAUGGGUUGGUAAGUCAGUUGUGAAAGUUUGCGGCUCAACCGUAAAAUUGCAAUUGAUACUGGCAGGCUUGAGUACAGUUGAGGUAGGCGGAAUUCGAGGUGUAGCGGUGAAAUGCAUAGAGAUGACGCAGAACCCCGAUUGCGAAGGCAGCCUUCCGGCGCCCUACUGACGCUGAGGCACGAAAGUGUGGGGAUCGAACAGGAUUAGAUACCCGAGUAGUC